GCGGGUGUGGCGGAACUGGUAGACGCGCUGGAUUUAGGUUCCAGUGGAGCAAUCCGUGGGGGUUCGAGUCCCUUCGCCCGUACCA
This 85-nucleotide transfer RNA is filed under the name Thalassospira sp. RNAcentral describes it as "tRNA-Leu". It matches the Rfam family "tRNA". From Rfam's summary of the family: Transfer RNA (tRNA) molecules are approximately 80 nucleotides in length. Their secondary structure includes four short double-helical elements and three loops (D, anti-codon, and T loops). Further hydrogen bonds mediate the characteristic L-shaped molecular structure. tRNAs have two regions of fundamental functional importance: the anti-codon, which is responsible for specific mRNA codon recognition, and the 3' end, to which the tRNAs corresponding amino acid is attached (by aminoacyl-tRNA synthetases). tRNAs cope with the degeneracy of the genetic code in two manners: having more than one tRNA (with a specific anti-codon) for a particular amino acid; and 'wobble' base-pairing, i.e. permitting non-standard base-pairing at the 3rd anti-codon position. The record is from RNAcentral. Lineage: Bacteria; Pseudomonadati; Pseudomonadota; Alphaproteobacteria; Rhodospirillales; Thalassospiraceae.